Non-coding RNA from Lupinus angustifolius (narrow-leaved blue lupine), 195 nucleotides. The record is from Rfam. NCBI's taxonomy places the organism in Eukaryota, Viridiplantae, Streptophyta, Magnoliopsida, Fabales, Fabaceae.
AUACCUUUCUCGGCCUUUUGGCUAAGAUCAAGUGUAGUAUCUGUUCUUAUCAGUUUAAUAUCUGAUAUGUGGGUCAUUGACCCACACGAUAUUAAAUUACUUUUUUAGAGGGGAGAUUUCACUACAAUAGCUUGCUAUUGGAUUUCUCAUGUGUCGCCCAUGUUUUGCACUAUUGCAUUGGCUGGCCCACCCUAC